RNAcentral lists this ribosomal RNA (431 nucleotides) under uncultured bacterium. Its description in RNAcentral is "partial 16S ribosomal RNA". It matches the Rfam family "Bacterial small subunit ribosomal RNA", at positions 29 to 507 of the family's 1533-position model. The record is from RNAcentral.
AACGAACGCUGGCGGCAGGCCUAACACAUGCAAGUCGAGCGCCCCGCCAGGGGAGCGGCGGACGGGUGAGUAACGCGUGGGAACGUACCCUUUGCUACGGAAUAGCCUCGGGAAACUGGGAGUAAUACCGUAUGUGUCCUUCGGGAGAAAGAUUUAUCGGCAAGGGAUCGGCCCGCGUUGGAUUAGGUAGUUGGUGGGGUAAUGGCCUACCAAGCCGACGAUCCAUAGCUGGUUUGAGAGGAUGAUCAGCCACACUGGGACUGAGACACGGCCCAGACUCCUACGGGAGGCAGCAGUGGGGAAUCUUAGACAAUGGGCGCAAGCCUGAUCUAGCCAUGCCGCGUGAGCGAUGAAGGCCUUAGGGUUGUAAAGCUCUUUCAGGGGGGAAGAUAAUGACUGUACCCCCAGAAGAAGCCCCGGCUAACUCCGUG